RNAcentral lists this transfer RNA (73 nucleotides) under Candidatus Moraniibacteriota bacterium. RNAcentral's name for it is "tRNA-Thr". It matches the Rfam family "tRNA". Rfam says of the family: Transfer RNA (tRNA) molecules are approximately 80 nucleotides in length. Lineage: Bacteria; Candidatus Moraniibacteriota. The record is from RNAcentral.
GCCAGAAUAGCUCAGUUGGCAGAGCAACGCACUCGUAACGCGUAGGUCGUGGGUUCGAUUCCCACUUCUGGCU